This is a non-coding RNA of Vicugna pacos (alpaca), 5058 nucleotides long. NCBI's taxonomy places the organism in Eukaryota, Metazoa, Chordata, Mammalia, Artiodactyla, Camelidae. The record is from RefSeq and is a predicted model, not a curated record.
UGCGCAGGCGCGAGCCCGGGAAGGAAGGGGCGGGUCGGAGGUUGCGCCCGAGGUGGGGCUUGGGAAGCGGGGGAAUAGGAAGAAAGGAGUCUUGGAGUCGGACUCCCAAGUCUGCAGCGGACCGUGAAGAUAACCUCCUGCUGUGGAGCAGCCUGAAGUUCAGAGCGAGCCGGUGACCGACUCGAGGGCUUGCCUGCAGAAUGGUGGAAGCGCGCUGCUCGGGCGCAGCCCCCCCGACUCUCAGCUCCUGGUUCCCUGAGGAUGUCAGCCGGGGCGCCCCGGAGAGGCCGGGGCCGAGAAGGCGUGGCCCCUGGGCUCGGGAAGCUCCUCAGGGAGAAAACAGGGGCCCGGGGGCCUGGAGGGGGCGGGGACUCGGAGACCGACGUGAAGACGAGAAAUAGAACCGAGGAUGUGCUCCUUGUCCGGCCGAGCGCGCUCUGUCCUCGGAGCCUUGGCUCUUGCUGCUCCCUUGUCCUGGCGUGCUCACCAGCUCCAGUCUGCUCGUGGGGGACCCCCGAGACGACUUCUCUGGGCUCUCACAUAAUUCCAUCUGUCCUUUAAUUAGUGUAAUUUAUUAAAGCCCUUCUCUCACCACCUGACAUACGAACCCAGGGAUCCUGACUCGGACUGCGAUCCAGGAGUGGGCUUCAGGAAGUCUGUGAGCCUCCUGGAAUGUCAUGUGAAAUUUAGCGGGGGGGGGGGGUGCCCUCUGAACACUUAUCUAGGAAGAAAUUCAGGAUGGCUCUCUCUAGAGCGACGGUUUGUAAGUUUUUGGGUUUUAGUUUUUGACCGUGGAUCCCUUUGACAAUUUGCAUUGUCCAGAAAGUAGUAUCUCGAGCUUGCGGAAAUUCCGGAAAGAUUAGGUAACCACUUGCAUUUUUAGAUAUUUUCUUCGGGGCAGCCUCCCAAGAUGCCUGAGUAGGAACAGAGACCAGUGACUUGUUCAGAGACACCUACUUUGGGCUUAUCAGAAAACAAACCAGUUUGAAGGAAUCUUUUUAGACUUGGUCCUUUCUUCAGUGCUGUGCAUUUUCAGGAAGAAUGGAGUGUGGAUCGCUUGGAUGGACCAAAGACACGUAAUUCCUUCUGUUACAUGGCAGGAAGGGUGGGUAAACUUAGGGAUAGCGAAGACAACACAUUAAUCAAGAGCCUUCCUCAUUUCGCAGAACCUGUCCUCAGUAAGAAUGUCGGAUAGGGUUGACUGGUUACAAAGCCAAAACGGAGUAUGCAAAGUUGAUGUCUAUUCACCUGGAGACAGCCAACCCCAAGACUGGAAAACGUUGGAUGAAUCCUUUUCUGUUUUUAAGGAAGCCUCAACUGACCCUAUCAGGGUGCUCAGCUGGCUCCGCAGAGACCUGGAAAGAAGCACAGCAGGCUUCCAGGAUGCCAGGUUCAAGCCCAGAGAGUCAUCCCAAGUUGGGGGGGAAGCGGUCAGCUCGGGAGACCCGAGCAAAGGCUUCUGUGUGGACUAUUAUGACACCGCCACCACGGGCGGCAGUCCCGGGAGACUGCAUUUCGAGGUGACUCACAGGGAGAACCCCUACCCGGGCCCCAGCUCCCAGGCCGGUACUGGGAGCUCGGUGGACGAAGUUUCCUUCUACGCCAACCGCCUCACGAAUCUCGUCAUAGCCAUGGCCCGCAAGGAGAUCCACGAGCGGAUCGACGGCGCCGAGAACACGUGUGUCCAUCAGUCCGUGUACCUGGGAGACAAGCCCGCGCCCAACAAAAGCCUGAGCAAGGUGGCAUCGGAGCUGGUAGACGAGACUGUCUCCUCGUGCUCCAAAGCCGCCGCGUCCGACAAGGCCCCGGGCUCUGGUGACAGGGCCGCGGGGUCACUGCAGAGCGGCCCGAACCUGAAAUACAAAAGCAGCCUGAAGGUCAAGGAGAGCGCCAAGGGGGGCAGGGGCCCCGACGACAGGCCCCCUUCCAGCAGGUCCUUCUUCUACAAGGAGGUGUUUGAGUCUCGCAACGCAGGGGACGCCAGGGAGGGCGGGCAGGCCUUGCCUGCGGAGAGGAGGCUGCUCAGUGGGCAGGAGAGGCCCGACAACUUCACGGCGUCUGUCAGCCAAGGGAUCAUGACCUACGCUAACAGCGUGGUGUCAGACAUGAUGGUCUCCAUCAUGAAGACCCUGCGGAUCCAGGUGAAGGACACCACCAUCGCCACCAUCCUGCUGAAGAAGGUUCUGAUCGAGCACGCGAAGGAGGUGGUCUCAGACCUCAUCGACUCCUUCAUGAGGAACCUCCACAAUGUCACGGGCACCCUCAUGACCGACACAGAAUUUGUCUCGGCGGUGAAGAGGAGUAUCUUCUCUCACGGAAGCCAGAAGGCCACAGACAUCAUGGACGCCAUGCUGGGUAAGCUCUACACGGUGAUAUUUGCCAGGAAACCUCCCGAGACUGUCAGGAAAAGCCAGGACAAGUCCGAGAGCUACUCCCUUGUCUCCACGAAGGGAGUGGGCGAUUCUAAAAGCCGAAGCGUCAACUUUGCAUCAGUGAGAUCGGAAGCUAAACUGAGGGAAAAAGCAUGCUCUGCUGCGCCCGAACCAGAGAAGGGGAAGACUUGUGCCGAAACUCUGGGCGAACACAUCAUCAAAGAGGGGCUGACCAAGUGGCACAAAAGUCAGCAGAAAGAAGGAAGAUCCCCAGGUUUCCAACGUGCACCAUUCGCAGCUCCCAACAAACAGUAUAAGCCUGCACCGGACAUUCCCCUGGGAUUUCCUUUCGACCCUUGCAACCUCAGCCCCCCGAUGCAUCACCCAGAGAAACCUGAGAAUUUUAUGAGUGAUUCAGACUCCUGGGCCAAGGACCUGAUCGUCUCUGCCUUACUUCUGAUCCAGUACCACCUGGCCCAAGGGGGGAGCAUGGAUGCACAGAGCUUCCUUGAAGCUGCUGGCACCACCCACCUGCAGGCCAACAAGUCCCCCAUAGUAUCGGAUGAGUGCAGCCUGAAAUGUCCCCACCCGGGGGCUGACCAAGAAGCAGCAGAAAAGAAGGAUCUAAUGAGCGUUUUCUUCAACUUUAUCCGGAACUUACUUGGGGAGACCAUUUUCAAAAGCGACCGGAGCUCUGACCCCAGGUCAGCUAAGGAAGAAGACAGCCCCCAGCGCGAAAGGCCGGCAACCCCCUCUCCCAUCAGACUGGGCGAGGGCAGCAAGCCUCGGGGUCCUUUGGCCGGGCUGACCAAGGUGGUUGCCAGCCAGCUAGAUGGCCACAUGACGGGUCAGAUGGUAGAGCACCUGAUGGAUUCAGUGAUGAAGCUGUGUCUCAUCAUUGCCCAGUCCUGUGACUCCUCGCUGGUGGAGCUGGGAGACGACAAGUCUGGGGACGCCAGCAGGCCAGCGUCAGCCUUCCAAGACACUUUAUACGAGUGUUUGCCCAGCAAGGGCACAGGCACAGCGGAGACCUUCUUGCAGAAUGCCUAUCAAGCUAUCCAUAGUGAACUGCGAGGGGUAUCAGGACAGACCCCUGAAGGGAGUGCGGCCCCCAAAGUGAUCGUCAGCAAUCAGAACCUAACGGAUACGGUUCAGAACAAGCAGCUCCAAGCCGUACUUCAAUGGGUAGCCGCCUCUGAGCUCAAUGUCCCUAUUUUAUACUUUGCUGGUGACGAUGAAGGAAUCCAGCAGAAGAUUACCAACGUAAAGAUAAAGACUGUCACCUAUUUUCUUAAAGGAAAAGAGUGAAAAGGAUGGGCAGUAACACACCCAGACUUCAGCUCACGAGUAGGUUUGCACAGAGCAUCCGUGUAUUUUUAAGAACAGUUAGAUGAAGUAUACAUCAAAGAAACUACCUAAAAGUUCACUGAGCUUCUUGACUUUGUCAGUUAUGCCUUUUGGCAAACUGGGGGAGUUUUUCAUCCAUUAUUUCCUCAAGUAUGUUUUCUGCACCACCCUUUUUCUCUCUUCCUUCUGGGAUUCUAAUGACAUGCAUAUAAAACCUUUUGGUAUUGUCGCACAGGCCCUGAGCUCUGUUCAUUUUCUCAACCUGUUUGAAAGAGGUUUGACCACUCUCUUCCGUUGUUCCGUGUGGUCAGUUUCUAUUGCUCUGUCUGUCAAUUUCCAUUUGGUCCUUCUUUGUAUCUUCUCUUUGCUGAGGCUGUCUUUCCAUUUGUUUUAAGAGAAUCCGUAUGUACUUCUGUCUCUCGCAUGGAAUUUCCCCUGAAAAAGCUCCUGCUGUUUGGCCUGUUUAUCUGCCCUUUGACUUUUUCAGAGAGUCAAGCACAGAAUGCACGAAAUAAAAAUCUGGUCAGUUUGUUGCCAUAAGGAUUCAGAUGGAUGGCAACGUACUGUGUUCACAUUAGAAUGGUUGCUUUGGCUAACUUUUCACAUUUUGUGCUUGGAAAGAGAAUUAAACACAGGGUUCAGAAACCUGGCUGUGAACAUUCCUCUGCUGAUUUCCAGCCCUGUGCUGCUGGCAGGUCUCUCCACCUCUCUGGGAAGCAUGUUCACGAGGUUGAGUGGAUCUUUUGAGUCGCCCUCUGCUCUGACGUUCCAGGGCUCCCUGUCUACAGGGCGGGGAGAGCACCCACACUUGUCCGUUGGCUGUCUCCCUCCUGCCCUUGUUAGUCGUGGGACAGAGGUGGAGACUGUUUCAUGAUAUUACAGUGAACUUAAGAACUUUGGAGUCCUUACAGGACAAGAACAACACUGACAGACAUCCAUCGAAGCACGAAGAUUUUAGUCUCAGGAGGAAACUACAUUUUCUGUAUCACGGACAGGUGGAUGUCAUUUAAAUUAAGGACAACGUAACCAACUUUCUUCUGUCAAGCAGGCCAGCCAGCAUCACAGCUGUGGAAGUCUUUUCAGCGGCUAACUUGAGUCCUUCCUGCUGCAAGGACUCUCCGCUCCCCCUUGGCAGGCCCUUCCCACCCUCUGGGGAUGCUCGCCCCUCCCCCCACCACGCUUCCUUUCCCCCUCAGCUCCUUCAGCUCUCAGCGGCCGCGGUGGACAAAGGGCGCAGCGUAGGCGAGGUGCUGCAGUCGGUGCUGCGCUACGAGAAGGAGCGGCAGCUGGACGAGGCGGUGGGCAACGUCACCCGGCUGCAGCUGCUGGACUGGCUGAU